Molecule: ribosomal RNA, 262 nt
Filed under: uncultured bacterium
Lineage: Bacteria
Description: partial 16S ribosomal RNA
Rfam family: Bacterial small subunit ribosomal RNA
Source: RNAcentral
CAGCCGCGGUAAUACGAAGGGGGCUAGCGUUGCUCGGAAUUACUGGGCGUAAAGGGCGCGUAGGCGGACAUUUAAGUCAGGGGUGAAAUCCCGGGGCUCAACCCCGGAACUGCCUUUGAUACUGGGUGUCUUGAGUCCGAGAGAGGUGAGUGGAAUUCCGAGUGUAGAGGUGAAAUUCGUAGAUAUUCGGAGGAACACCAGUGGCGAAGGCGGCUCACUGGCUCGGUACUGACGCUGAGGUGCGAAAGCGUGGGGAGCAAAC